GCUGGAAUUGCUAGUAAUGGCAGGUCAGCAUACUGCCGUGAAUACGUUCCCCGGGCCUUGUACACACCGCCCGUCACACCAUGAGAGUUGGAAAUACCCGAAGCCUGUGAGCUAACUUUUAGAGGCAGCAGUCGAAGGUAGAGCCAAUGAUUGGGGUGAAGUCGUAACAAGGUAGC
This 176-nucleotide ribosomal RNA is filed under the name uncultured bacterium. Its description in RNAcentral is "partial 16S ribosomal RNA". It matches the Rfam family "Bacterial small subunit ribosomal RNA", at positions 1325 to 1500 of the family's 1533-position model. The record is from RNAcentral.